UUCCAUCCCUGGUCAGGUU
Molecule: unclassified non-coding RNA, 19 nt
Filed under: Mus musculus (house mouse)
Lineage: Eukaryota; Metazoa; Chordata; Mammalia; Rodentia; Muridae
Description: oocyte_clustered_small_RNA14088
Source: RNAcentral